This 3383-nucleotide long non-coding RNA is filed under the name Sus scrofa (pig). Its description in RNAcentral is "lncRNA (ENSSSCG00025074902.1)". Lineage: Eukaryota; Metazoa; Chordata; Mammalia; Artiodactyla; Suidae. The record is from RNAcentral.
UUUUUUUUUUUUUUUUUUUUUUUAAUGAGAUCAAUGCAUUUCCAGCAAGCAAUUUCCACCCCUACAUAUUUUCAUAAAGAGAUACUACUCUUUUACAGUGCUAGGUACCUACUCUGAGUUUUUAACCAAUAAAUACUUAGGGAUUUCAGGUGGGUGAAAAUAACCCAAACUUUUUGCCCAAGGCAUGGAAAGUACAGGCUGAAAGAGGGAGAAAGGAACCAAGGGUUGGUAAAUGUGUGUAGAAAAGCACUUUCUUUUCUGGUGAAUAGUUUGCCCAGGAAAAAAAUAUGCAUUUGAAAAUUUCUGCAAGAUCUAUCUCUUAAGAUCAGACAAUUAUUCAUCUCAUUCUUUAAAAACAAAUAAAAAAUAAAACCGUAAUCUCGAUGUUAAAAAUCCUCAUUUCAAAGUCCAUCCUACACACUCAUUGGAUAAACAAGCUCUAGGUUUGCGUGGGUUCCCGGGUAUUUAAAGCUUUUACAUUUAGCAUCACCCCUUUCAGAGGCACUGAGUCUGCCUGCCUUCUCCGCCCACAGACAGUCAGUCACGAUCGGCUCAAUUCCACCCUCGGCCCCCUCACGAUUCUACCACACAGGUCUCACAAGUUGAAAAUUAUUUUCUUAUGUUUGGUCUUCACAGCUACAUAGAACUACUUCAGGGCAUAGAGCAUAUUUUAUUCAUUUUUAUAUUUCCAAUUUCCCUAAAUAAUUUAUUCAUUCAUUAAAAGAAGCCUACUGAGCCUACUACGCGCCAGAGGCUUUAAUCAUUCAGCAGAAUGUACUGAACGGGCACAGUUCUAAUAAGCAACAGGAACGCAUCUGUGAACAAAGGAGAAGGCGAGUCCUGGCCUCAAGGAUCUUACUUCUGCUGGGGAAACAAGAGCCAACAGAUAUAAUACAGUUUCUCCAAAGGCAGUGAGUGCUAAGGAAAAAGGAAAAGCAGAGCAAUACAAGGAGGCUUCAGAGUAUGCUGCUGCAUUAAAAAGGUGGUCAAGAAAGGCCUCACUGAGAAACGACUCUUGAGCAAAGCCUUUGAGGAGGUGAGGGCAUUAGCCAAGAGCAUCAAGGGGAGCCUCUGGAGAAGGGCAUUACAGGCAGAGGGAACCACCAGGGCAAAGGCUGCUGUGGGUCACGGUUCAGAAGCCUUUCAGGAUCAGCAAAAAGGCCACAUGGGCUGGAAUGGGGAGGGGGGAAGAGGGGAGCAGAUGACUAAUAGUAAGGUCAGGGGUUAGAGAGGCCGCAUAAGCCACUGUAGGGGUGUUCUUACAACUGCCUAGCUCCCAAAGUAGACAAGAAGCAUACAUCCCAAAACAUGCACAAUCACAUAUAUAUCCAGCCACUACUAAAACUUUAAAACAGGACUUGCGGUGCUUCCCCUGCAUCCCAAUGGAUCAUUCUGCACAUCAUAUUCCUUGGAGAAGCAGCAGCCCACUCUGAAGACCACUACCCUAUGCUGUCAUAGCUCAGGCAGUAAACAACGUAUUCUCACAAUGACUAGGAGCAGCCAGAGGUCUGCUGAAUUCCUAAGCCCCUCAACACAGCCUGGGAUCCACCCUGAAAGCCUUACAGAAGAUCCCAGGUUGCAGGAGGGUUGAACUGGAAAUGUUUUGGGAUUUUGUUUUGGUUUCUUCCCCUAGUCCAAGAGUUUCUUAAAACAACAAAUUCCACAAUUCAGUUCAGAAAUCAUCAACUCUCUCACUCGGAGUAUUUCAUACUUCCUACACCUUCAGAGACCUGGUACUGCCAAGGAUGGAAAUGGCCAGCAUUUCUAUACAGUUGCCCUUUAUUGGGUAUACAAUAGUUUUUCUUACAAUUGAGCUAUUUAAAACAAAACAAAAUCAAAAACCUCCUAUGAAUGAAUGUAGGGACUACUCUACUAAAUAAGAAAGUUUAGCAAAAGUAAACUUGCUAAAAUUUACUCUCCUUUUCCCCUCCUUAAAAAGGUGGGCCACAGAACUAAACCACCUGGCUUGGCACUCAGCCUCUUCAGAAGCUCUCCCAUGUACACCGCAAGAUGAAAUAAAACCUUGGGGAAAGGGGUCGUCCGAGCUAACUGUUGCUUUGAUUAAGAAGCCACGGCGCUCAGCACAGUCUCAGGACGAGCAGAGUCCUCUUCGCCAUUGUCCAUGUCUUCGAGGUCACUAUUUAAACACUAACUCAACUUACCUCAAUGACUUCUAAAAAGAAUCAAGCCAGAUUAUUAUGCUAUUACACAGAGGAGAAUCAUACUUCACCCCAUCCUCUCAAGGAGAUAAUCAUAAAAUUGCUCAAGUACUGGCAUGUGUUUUACCUCGUGUGGUUCAACCAUCAAAAUUAUGUCAUUAUUCCAGCAGAGCAAAAGUCAAUUGCGUGAACUAGCUAAUCCUCAUACAACCUCUUAUAAUUUUCAUCUCGUCUCUCAAUUCUUUUUUUCCUUUCCUUUUUUUUUUUUUUUUUUUUUUUUUGGCUAUAUUUUUAAGUUUAAGCUGGAGAAGAAAAGUCAUCCCUACCUGUAGAGAGGACCAUUUGGCUCUUAUUUCAGAUUUUUUAGGAAACUGCAAUGCCAAGAAAGGGUAAACAUUAGAGACAAUCUACUUUCCAGCUCUGAAUGACCACCCUAAGAUGCACCAAUCAUCCGACAGGGACACAAUGCACCAAAACAGAAAUGACAAAAGCUGAAGAACUUGAAAGCAGUUCUUUCCCUUAAAUGAAGCUUUUACAUCAAACAAAUCUAGGGAGCUCCCGUCGUGGCUCGUGGCUCGUGGCUCAGCAGUUAAUGAACCAACUAAGAUCCAUGAGGAUCCGAGAGUUCAGUCCCUGGCCUCACUCAGUGAGUUAAGGAUCUGACGUUGCUGUGAGCUAUGGUGUAGGUUGCAGAUGAGGCUCGGAUCCCGAGUUGCUGUGGCUGUGGUGUAGGCUGGCAGCUGCAGCUCCGAUUUGACCCCCAGCCUGGGAAUUUCUGUAUGCCGCAAGUGGGGCCCUAAAAAGACAAAAAAAAAAAGAAAAACAAAACAAAACCACACAACCUAAUCUAAACAAUUCCUGUGUAUUCUAGUCUUUUGACAAUGUGUCAAUCAAAGCUUUUAUUCCAUAGCCCUUAGCAAUUUUCCACAUUUAAUAUGACAAAGAAAACCAGUGCUAAUCUUCUACACGACUAAACCCAAACUUUGAAAUUACCAGUAAAAGUGACAUCAUUUAUAUCAUCUCUCUUAUUGAGAAGUAGAUUCUGUUUUUGAUAGUAAAAAGCAGCCCUGAAAGUCUGCAUGAAUUGAAGCUGUCAAUAAGUAGCCAGCUCCCUGUGCCCCUUCCCUGGUGUCUGGCUCAGGGAGGGUCAGCAAAAUAGGGGCCAAGGGUCAAAGGGUCCACUGCCUGCUUUAGCAUGGUCCGCAGUGAAAGAAUGGGUUCUCU